AAAAAUUGCUAUCAUUUCUUGCCUGUAACCUGCGGUUUAUUCUGUGCAUAUUCGUGGUAGAUAUUUGUGGAAGAAGCCAUUCACAAGUAAAGAGAAGUGCCAGGGAAAGGAGCUUUCAGACCGGCUGCUGUGGGAGGUUGACUCAUUGGAGUGCAGGAGAAGCCGGAGACAGCCCUGAGACCAGAAGAGAUGAUGAACAGAGGUACAAGGUCAUGACAAAUGUAGUGUGGCUACACAGAAGUGGUGCAACUGGAGCUCCCUCAGGGCAUGAGAAGCGAGCAGAAGCAAGAGGAGCACAUAGUGACCUUCACCUUGUGUAAUGGAGGUACACAUGUCUGUUUGCCCUGCAGCAGUGAAGGCCACCCUUGAAUUACAGAUGGUAUGGAACAGAACUACUUAUUUUGAUCUAGUACUCUGUGAAAAAUUGGGAAUUACCAUUUCCUAGGCUCUAUCUCAUACCUUUUCUGACCAUGAAGGCUUCAGUCACAUUUUCCUCACUUCUCCCUUGAGAAUCCUCCUAACUUUUGUACCUCUUCACCAAUAACAUCUGUACACUGAGAAAACACAACUGCAAUUUUGACAGGGGUGUUCAGGAACUUUGAGAUUGGGAUUGGUUGCUUCCUCUUAUCCAGUUUAUCUCC
RNAcentral lists this long non-coding RNA (641 nucleotides) under Gallus gallus (chicken). Its description in RNAcentral is "lncRNA (ENSGALG00010008697.1)". Lineage: Eukaryota; Metazoa; Chordata; Aves; Galliformes; Phasianidae. The record is from RNAcentral.